GACGAACCGUGCGAACGUUGUUCGGAUUCACUGGGCUUAAAGGGUGCGUAGGCGGGCGAUCCAGUCGGGGGUGAAAGUUUUCGGCUCAACCGGAAAAGGGCCUCUGAUACGGGUCGUCUCGAGGGAGGUAGGGGCAUGCGGAACUUCCGGUGGAGCGGUGAAAUGCGUAGAUAUCGGAAGGAACGCCGGUGGCGAAAGCGGCGUGCUGGACCUCUUCUGACGCUGAGGUACGAAAGCUAGGGUAGCGAACGGG
RNAcentral lists this ribosomal RNA (253 nucleotides) under uncultured bacterium. RNAcentral describes it as "partial 16S ribosomal RNA". It matches the Rfam family "Bacterial small subunit ribosomal RNA", at positions 524 to 776 of the family's 1533-position model. The record is from RNAcentral.